Molecule: non-coding RNA, 24 nt
Filed under: Arabidopsis thaliana (thale cress)
Lineage: Eukaryota; Viridiplantae; Streptophyta; Magnoliopsida; Brassicales; Brassicaceae
Source: RNAcentral
AGGAAAAGGAGAGACGGAAGACAA